Molecule: unclassified non-coding RNA, 258 nt
Filed under: uncultured fungus
Lineage: Eukaryota; Fungi
Description: partial contains small subunit ribosomal RNA, internal transcribed spacer 1, and 5.8S ribosomal RNA
Rfam family: Eukaryotic small subunit ribosomal RNA (bases 1-73)
Source: RNAcentral
GCAAACUUGGUCAUUUAGAGGAAGUAAAAGUCGUAACAAGGUUUCCGUAGGUGAACCUGCGGAAGGAUCAUUACCGUUGGAGCUUGCUCCAUCUGGGAUAGAACCCUUGAAUUUGAGUACCUAAUUGUUUCCUUGGUGGGCUUGCUUGCCAGUGGACAACCAAAAACCCUCUGUUAUAGUAGUAUAUUCUGAGAAAAACAAAUAGUCAAAACUUUCAACAACGGAUCUCUUGGUUCUGGCAUCGAUGAAGAACGCAGC